UCCCGCAACGAGCGCAACCCUUAUCCUUUGUUGCCAGCGAUUAGGUCGGGAACUCAAAGGAGACUGCCAGUGAUAAACUGGAGGAAGGUGGGGAUGACGUCAAGUCAUCAUGGCCCUUACGACCAGGGCUACACACGUGCUACAAUGGCGCAUACAAAGAGAAGCGACCUCGCGAGAGCAAGCGGACCUCAUAAAGUGCGUCGUAGUCCGGAUUGGAGUCUGCAACUCGACUCCAUGAAGUCGGAAUCGCUAGUAAUCGUGGAUCAGAAUGCCACGGUGAAUACGUUCCCGGGCCUUGUACACACCGCCCGUCACACCAUGGGAGUGGGUUGCAAAAGAAGUAGGUAGCUUAACCUUCGGGAGGGCGCUUACCACUUUGUGAUUCAUGACUGGGGUGAAGUCGUAACAAGGUAACCGUAGGGGAACCUGCGGUUGGAUCACCUCCUUACCUUAAAG
This 456-nucleotide ribosomal RNA is filed under the name Salmonella enterica subsp. enterica. RNAcentral's name for it is "bacterial SSU rRNA". It matches the Rfam family "Bacterial small subunit ribosomal RNA", at positions 1085 to 1533 of the family's 1533-position model. The record is from RNAcentral. Lineage: Bacteria; Pseudomonadati; Pseudomonadota; Gammaproteobacteria; Enterobacterales; Enterobacteriaceae.